AACCAUAGAAACCUGCGGAGUACCUGCGGAAGGAUCAUUACCGAGUUAUACAACUCAUCAACCCCUGUGAACUUACCUACAACGUUGCUUCGGCGGGAACAGACGGCCCCGUAAAACGGGCCGCCCCCGCCAGAGGACCCCUAACUCUGUUUUUAUAAUGUUUUUCUGAGUAAACAAGCAAAUAAAUUAAAACUUUCAGCAACGGAUCU
RNAcentral lists this unclassified non-coding RNA (209 nucleotides) under soil metagenome. RNAcentral's name for it is "partial contains 5.8S ribosomal RNA, internal transcribed spacer 2, and large subunit ribosomal RNA". The record is from RNAcentral.